GAGGUACUUCCUCUGUUCGAAAAUACUUGUCAUCAAAAUGGACAAAAAAGGAUGUAUCUAGAACUAAAAUACAUCUAGAUACAUUCCCUUUUAUUCAUUUUGAUGACAAGUAUUUCCGGACGAAGGGAGUACGAG
This is a non-coding RNA of Triticum aestivum (bread wheat), 135 nucleotides long. NCBI's taxonomy places the organism in Eukaryota, Viridiplantae, Streptophyta, Magnoliopsida, Poales, Poaceae. The record is from Rfam.